UCCGUAGGCGAGUAAUUAAGUCAGAGGUGAAAUCCCACAGCUUAACUGUGGAACUGCCUUAGAUACUGGUUAUCUUGAGUUUUAGUGAAGUAGAUAGAAUGUGUAGUGUAGCGGUGAAAUGCAUAGAUAUUACACAGAAUACCGAUUGCGAAGGCAGUCUACUAACUAACAACUGACGCUAAUGGACGAAAGCGUGGGGAGCGAACAGGAUUAGAUACCCUGGUAGUC
This 228-nucleotide ribosomal RNA is filed under the name uncultured bacterium. RNAcentral describes it as "partial 16S ribosomal RNA". It matches the Rfam family "Bacterial small subunit ribosomal RNA", at positions 568 to 795 of the family's 1533-position model. The record is from RNAcentral.